Molecule: ribosomal RNA, 774 nt
Filed under: Triticum aestivum (bread wheat)
Lineage: Eukaryota; Viridiplantae; Streptophyta; Magnoliopsida; Poales; Poaceae
Description: partial small subunit ribosomal RNA
Source: RNAcentral
AUGGUUGUUUGUCGGAGAAAAAAGUGUGUAAAAAGUAAAAGCAAAAGCAAGUCUGGAGAUAUACUUUCUAUAUGGAAUUUCGAUGGAAAGAUCGCAUUCGAAGACAUACUCGGUGCAACAGAAAAUUUUGAUGAGAAAUAUUGCAUUGGCAUUGGGGGCUAUGGAACUGUCUUUAGAGUUGAGCUUCAAGGCGCGGUUACCUUUGCCGUCAAGCUCCUGCAUUCAAUGGAAGAAUUCAAAGACGAGGAAACAUUUCACGCUGAGAUUGAAGUGUUGACUAAAAUUAGGCACCGAUGCAUCGUCAGGCUAUAUGGAUUCUGUUCACACUUCCAAUGCAAAUUCCUCGUGUACGACCUUAUCGAGAGGGGAAACUUAUCAUCCAUUUUGCACAAGCAAGAGCUAGCAAAGGAGCUGGACUGGUCAAAUAGAAUUGCUAUUGUAGCGGACGUAGCUCAAGCUCUCUCCUAUUUGCAUCAUGAUUGUGAUGAUCCUAUUGUACACGGGGACAUAAAAAGUAGCAACAUUCUUCUGAACCGAUAUUAUAAAGCUUAUGUCUUGGACUUUGGCAUGGCGAGGAAGCUGAAGCAUGGUUGCUCAAGCUGGAGCACUAUCUUCGCAGGGACAUGUGGCUAUAUAGCCCCAGAAUUGUCAUCCACCAUGGUGUUGACCGAGAAGUGCGACGUGUACAGCGUUAGUGUGGUUGUGUUGGAAGUUGUGAUGGAAAGCACCCAUGUGAUCUGCUCCUUCCGUUCUUCUGCCGAACAGAGCAGCUGA